Molecule: long non-coding RNA, 1680 nt
Filed under: Betta splendens (Siamese fighting fish)
Lineage: Eukaryota; Metazoa; Chordata; Actinopteri; Anabantiformes; Osphronemidae
Description: lncRNA (ENSBSLG00000003145.1)
Source: RNAcentral
AUGAAACUAAACUGACCGGAACAAACACAGGAAGCCGAAGUGUGACACAGGCCGAACCGCGAGCAGCGGCCACAGGCACGAACAGCCGCUAAUUAACGGAAAGCUCGGCUCGGCUCGGUUGCGUAGGAACAGAACCACCAGAGUCUCUGAGGAGCAAGAGACGCGCGAUGAGUUGACGAGGACCCGAUCUGCGCCCAAAUCAAAGUUACAAACCUCCACGAACGUGGCGUCUCGCGCUCGUCGAGCUGUUGCUGCAGGUGUUCGGAAUGAGUUGAUGAAGAACCGUUUACUCACAUGUGAAACUCCUGCGUUAAGCUGCGGGUCGGUCUCUCCUUCACACCGUCACCGCUCAGCGCUGCCAGGUCCCAUCCGGACUCCAGGCGCAAAGUGGCGGAUCCAUGAGCGGCAAACUCCGCGGCGCAAACAAAUUGAAAAGUGUUGAGUGAAAUUUUCGAUGAAAUUCAAGACGGCUUUGACGCUCGUGGGUGUUUAAUCCAAGCAGAGGGGCGUCGGUAAAUAAGGGAAGGGUUCUUGAGUCCAGCCGGGAGGGGAAAGUGCGCACCGGGCGGCUUCACCGCGUCUGCCGCGCUUCCUCCCGCAUCUCAGCCGCUUUAAUCCUCCAGAUGCGGCUCCAGCUUUUCUUUAAUUCCCCCUUUAAUCCCGAAAACACGCCCGUCUACCUUAGGAGACGUAAGGUUUCAUUCUUCUCCAGGAGGAAACAUUUGAAGGAAAGUGCGAAGUUUGGCGUCAGACUGGAGCGCGGCGACGGCGGGACUGAGCGCUCAGACUCCCUUCAUCCCCGCCGCUUGAUCGCCCCGUGGACGCGCGGGGAGAGAGAGUGGGAGAGAAAGAGAGAAAGGGGAGCUGGAAACAAGGGGAGUAUCGCGAGGUUACGACUCAAGUCCCGCGGAGACACGCGCACACGCACGUUCAAAAACAGUUUAAGAGACAGGAUGGACUGUGCCGUUAUUAACACAUACACAUUCACUGUAAAGCUGUUGGUCUUUAGACCCAGCGCCAAACUUUUCAACACAGCAGAAGUUCGUUGUUGUCUCCUCAUGUGUUCACUGCGGUUCUGGUUCUGAUCAGACCUGAACCAGGUGAAUAUUCUGGUUCCUCCCACACAGACUAACACACUUCUCCUGCUCCAGCAGGUCCAGGUUUCCCGUGAGCCUGAACCGGAGUCUCCCCCUUGUGUUCGUCACCAGCUGUAAGAAGUUCGGCUCAACACAUCAACGGUCGCGUCCGAUCUCCACGUCGUAACCUUUAGUUUUCAUUGUAUUUAAGGAACCUAAGACACGUUAGAGCUCUGCAGCCGCUGCUCAGCUGUUUCUGAGGCCAGGGGUUAAAUCCGCCGGCAUGCGACACAUGAUCCUUAUCAGCCUGUGUGAAGCUGGACACCUGUCGGCGUGGGCUCCGUCCACGAAGCCAAACUGACACCAGCACCAGGCCCGCGGGGCACUGGAGGCUCCGGACCAGCAGACCGGGACCGAGAAACCAGAACGACCCGGAGACGGAACGAGGCGAAGAAAACGGCUCAUUUACUGGACAAAACGUCCCAGACUCAUAUGAAGGCGGUGUUUAAAAUGAAUGGAACAAAUCAGGAAGCUUUCAGGAGAGGAGUCAGUUUAUUACAGUCGGACUUUCAUUAGUUUCAUAAUAAACCAAAACACACAAACA